Molecule: ribosomal RNA, 456 nt
Filed under: uncultured bacterium
Lineage: Bacteria
Description: bacterial SSU rRNA
Rfam family: Bacterial small subunit ribosomal RNA
Source: RNAcentral
UACGGGAGGCAGCAGUGGGGAAUAUUGCACAAUGGGCGCAAGCCUGAUGCAGCCAUGCCGCGUGUAUGAAAAAGGCCUUUCGGGUUGUAAAGUACUUUCAGUCGUGAGGAAGGUGUUAAGGUUAAUAACCUUAGCAAUUGACGUUAGCGACAGAAGAAGCACCGGCUAACUCCGUGCCAGCAGCCGCGGUAAUACGGAGGGUGCGAGCGUUAAUCGGAAUUACUGGGCGUAAAGGGCACGCAGGCGGUUAAUUAAGUUGGAUGUGAAAUCCCCGGGCUUAACCUGGGAAUGGCAUUCAAGACUGGUUAGCUAGAGUCUUGUAGAGGGGGUAGAAUUCCAUGUGUAGCGGUGAAAUGCGUAGAGAUGUGGAGGAAUACCGGUGGCGAAGGCGGCCCCUGGACAAAGACUGACGCUCAUGUGCGAAAGCGUGGGGAGCAAACGAGGGAUUAGGAUACC